UACGGAGGGUGCAAGCGUUGCUCGGAAUCACUGGGCGUAAAGCGUCCGCAGGCGGUCAAUUAAGUCGGGAGUGAAAGCCCAGGGCUCAACCCUGGAACUGCUUUCGAUACUGGUUGACUUGAGUACGGGAGAGGGAAGUGGAAUUCCUGGUGUAGAGGUGAAAUUCGUAGAUAUCAGGAGGAACACCAGUGGCGAAAGCGGCUUCCUGGCCCGAUACUGACGCUCAUGGACGAAAGCGUGGGGAGCAAACAGG
This 253-nucleotide ribosomal RNA is filed under the name uncultured bacterium. Its description in RNAcentral is "partial 16S ribosomal RNA". It matches the Rfam family "Bacterial small subunit ribosomal RNA", at positions 524 to 776 of the family's 1533-position model. The record is from RNAcentral.